AGGGGACCUUCGGGCCUUUCGCUAACAGAUGAGCCUGCGUUGGAUUAGCUAGUUGGUGGGGUAGGGGCCCACCAAGGCGACGAUCCAUAGCUGGUCUGAGAGGACGAUCAGCCACACUGGGACUGAGACACGGCCCAGACUCCUACGGGAGGCAGCAGUGGGGAAUAUUGGACAAUGGGCGCAAGCCUGAUCCAGCAAUACCGCGUGUGUGAAGAAGGCCCUAGGGUUGUAAAGCACUUUCAAUUGGGAGGAAAACCCACCGGCCAAUACCCGGUGGCUUGACAUUACCUUUAGAAGAAGCACCGGCUAACUCCGUGCCAGCAGCCGCGGUAAUACGGAGGGUGCGAGCGUUAAUCGGAAUUACUGGGCGUAAAGCGUGCGUAGGCGGCCCGUUAAGUCAGAUGUGAAAGCCUCGGGCUCAACCUGGGAACUGCAUUUGAAACUGGCGGGCUAGAGUUUGGUAGAGGGGAGCGGAAUUUCAGGUGUAGCGGUGAAAUGCGUAGAUAUCUGAAGGAACACCAGUGGCGAA
Molecule: ribosomal RNA, 529 nt
Filed under: uncultured bacterium
Lineage: Bacteria
Description: bacterial SSU rRNA
Rfam family: Bacterial small subunit ribosomal RNA
Source: RNAcentral